AGAGUUUGAUCCUGGCUCAGGACGAACGCUGGCGGCGCGCCUAACACAUGCAAGUCGAACGAGAGAGAGGGAGCUUGCUUCCUCAAUCGAGUGGCGAACGGGUGAGUAACGCGUGAGGAACCUGCCUCAAAGAGGGGGACAACAGUUGGAAACGACUGCUAAUACCGCAUAAGCCCACGGCUCGGCAUCGAGCAGAGGGAAAAGGAGCAAUCCGCUUUGAGAUGGCCUCGCGUCCGAUUAGCUAGUUGGUGAGGUAAUGGCCCACCAAGGCGACGAUCGGUAGCCGGACUGAGAGGUUGAACGGCCACAUUGGGACUGAGACACGGCCCAGACUCCUACGGGAGGCAGCAGUGGGGAAUAUUGCACAAUGGGGGAAACCCUGAUGCAGCGACGCCGCGUGGAGGAAGAAGGUCUUCGGAUUGUAAACUCCUGUUGUUGAGGAAGAUAAUGACGGUACUCAACAAGGAAGUGACGGCUAACUACGUGCCAGCAGCCGCGGUAAAACGUAGGUCACAAGCGUUGUCCGGAAUUACUGGGUGUAAAGGGAGCGCAGGCGGGCGAUCAAGUUGGAAGUGAAAUCCAUGGGCUCAACCCAUGAACUGCUUUCAAAACUGAUUGUCUUGAGUAGUGCAGAGGUAGGCGGAAUUCCCGGUGUAGCGGUGGAAUGCGUAGAUAUCGGGAGGAACACCAGUGGCGAAGGCGGCCUACUGGGCACCAACUGACGCUGAGGCUCGAAAGUGUGGGUAGCAAACAGGAUUAGAUACCCUGGUAGUCCACACCGUAAACGAUGAUUACUAGGUGUUGGAGGAUUGACCCCUUCAGUGCCGCAGUUAGCACAAUAAGUAAUCCACCUGGGGAGUACGACCGCAAGGUUGAAACUCAAAGGAAUUGACGGGGGCCCGCACAAGCAGUGGAGUAUGUGGUUUAAUUCGACGCAACGCGAAGAACCUUACCAAGUCUUGACAUCCUGCGACGAUGCUAGAAAUAGUAUUUUCCUUCGGGACGCAGAGACAGGUGGUGCAUGGUUGUCGUCAGCUCGUGUCGUGAGAUGUUGGGUUAAGUCCCGCAACGAGCGCAACCCUUAUGGUCAGUUACUACGCAAGAGGACUCUGGCCAGACUGCCGUUGACAAAACGGAGGAAGGUGGGGAUGACGUCAAAUCAUCAUGCCCUUUAUGACUUGGGCUACACACGUACUACAAUGGCGUUAAACAAAGAGAAGC
RNAcentral lists this ribosomal RNA (1221 nucleotides) under metagenome. RNAcentral's name for it is "bacterial SSU rRNA". It matches the Rfam family "Bacterial small subunit ribosomal RNA", at positions 8 to 1250 of the family's 1533-position model. The record is from RNAcentral.